UCACCUUGCUUUUGUUGGGAGAAGCUGCUGCUGUUUCAGUCACAAGUUCUGCUUCCUCUAGACACUGUAAGUUGUUUCCAGUUGUUUGAUGGUUAAAUAUGCUCUGUUUUCUAAGUGAAUAGACAUUGCCUUGCCGUAAAUUGGACUGUUUUCUGUAAGUGCUGCCAGAAGUCCCGCCCCCACCUCCAACUGCAUGAUCAACAUGGUGCAACUCACUGGCUGACAACGUGGUGUCAAUAGAUAAUUCAGAUCAUUUUCAAACAAGGUUGGCCAUAAAGAUGCUCUUAUGAGGUGCUCUCCCAGUGUCUGUAGCACAGGAGAUGGAAGACUCAUGUGGCCUCAUCAAAUUUUGAAAUGGUGCUGAUUCUAUAUGUCUAGGAGUUCGGUUUUGAGAGGUCCCAACUUCAUGCUGCAUCAACUCGGCACUUGCGAGGGUAAUCUGGCCCUGCUGCCUUUCUGGCAUCAGAACAGUGCGAUGGGAUCUUUAUGUCCGGGUGAGAGGGCAGACAGGGCCUCAGUUUAAUGUCACAUCUGAAUACAUCAAGAUGGCUGCCAGUGCCCAAAGCUACCAAUGAAGAAAUCAGC
Molecule: long non-coding RNA, 585 nt
Organism: Carcharodon carcharias (great white shark)
Lineage: Eukaryota; Metazoa; Chordata; Chondrichthyes; Lamniformes; Lamnidae
Exons: 3
Source: RefSeq, a predicted model, not a curated record